GUAGUGUUGAGUCCUCUGCUCUACGGCUGUGAAACUUGUGAAACAUCUACCGUCGCCACACCCAGCUGUUGGAACCGCUCCACCAGAGGUGCCUGCGUUCAAUAUGCAAGAUCAAGUGGCAGGACAAAGUGUCAAACCUCGAGGUCCUGCAGAAGUGCAGUCUCCCCAGCGUUGAAAGCCUGACCAUCAAGGCUCAGCUCCGCUGAAGGAGGGACAGCGUGGCCUGGGAAGACUCCGUCUCCGAUUGAGGGACACCCUGAAGGCCACCCUCAAGAACUGCAACAUCGAUGCAGUAAACUGGGAGGACACAGCUGCCGAUAGGGAAAGGUGGAGACACCAGGUCACCCAAGGACUCGAGAGCUUUGAACAGGCAAGGACAGAAGCCAUCCAAGAAAAGAGAGACCACAGGAAACAUGGUUCUCUCUCGUCAACACAAAAUCCCCUGCAGUAUCUGUGGAACACUGUGUGUCCCAGGGAUAGGGCUACGCUCCCACAUGAGGAGUCACGCUAAAAGGAAAUAACUGCUAGUCUACUCAUCCGUCAAAUCGACGGGAGACUCCAUCAUCAUCAUCAUUGAUGCUAGAGGAGUUAAUGAUAGAGAAACAUUUUAAGAUAUUAAGUCGCCAUCCUUGCAAUAAUUUUUUGAGAUAAAAUGUUGACUAAACUGACAGUUGUAUGUGAGUACUGUAUUCAACGGACUAUGAGUCGCUCGGAGUACAAGUUGCACCAACCAUAAAAUGCAUAAUA
Long non-coding RNA from Syngnathus acus (greater pipefish), 747 nucleotides. RefSeq lists it as uncharacterized. The transcript has 2 exons. Lineage: Eukaryota; Metazoa; Chordata; Actinopteri; Syngnathiformes; Syngnathidae. The record is from RefSeq and is a predicted model, not a curated record.